Long non-coding RNA from Maniola jurtina (meadow brown), 188 nucleotides. RefSeq lists it as uncharacterized. The transcript has 3 exons. The record is from RefSeq and is a predicted model, not a curated record. NCBI's taxonomy places the organism in Eukaryota, Metazoa, Arthropoda, Insecta, Lepidoptera, Nymphalidae.
CUUUGACGUAAAUUUUUUUAUACCUUUUUUACCUGUAAUCUCCCGAAGCCACCAUGAUCCGAAAUUCAUAGUCGCUGAUCGUUCUUCCCUAUGCUGGGGGCAAUACGCAGAGAAACUUUCAGCUUUUAUAAAAUAACGAAGGUCUGGCACGCGCUGGCUCUUAGUCGAGUCAUUAGAUUUGUGCGUGU